Molecule: small nuclear RNA, 98 nt
Filed under: Nannospalax galili (Upper Galilee mountains blind mole rat)
Lineage: Eukaryota; Metazoa; Chordata; Mammalia; Rodentia; Spalacidae
Source: RNAcentral
AUGCUUGCACCUAUACUAAAAUUGGAACGAUACAGAGAAGGUUAGCAUGGCUCCUGCACAAAGAUGUCACACAAAUUCAUGGUGUUCUAUAUUUUUUA